Oncorhynchus nerka (sockeye salmon) is the source of this 385-nucleotide long non-coding RNA. RefSeq lists it as uncharacterized. The record is from RefSeq and is a predicted model, not a curated record. Lineage: Eukaryota; Metazoa; Chordata; Actinopteri; Salmoniformes; Salmonidae. The transcript has 2 exons.
CCUUGGGAGCUGAGUGGCCUCGGGAACUGCACGGCCUCGGGAGCUGCGUGGCCUCGGGAGCUGCACGGCCUCGGGAGCUGCACGGACAAACUGACCUACUCAAAGAAAAUAGCCUUUGACCGGGUGAUGCUCCUGAGACGGCUGAAGGAGGAAGAGGUAAUUGUCCUAAAGGAAGUCCAGCAGCACUGGGAAAGCCUAAAGAGGGAAUCGGAGAAUGUGCAAGACCUUGCUUCACAUGUGGCACCUGACCUAAGCAGGCAAAGUUUGGGUGGGUGCAGUUUGCAUUGGGUGGAAAGUGAUUCCAUUUGUUUUGUAGAUGUGCUUCAUCUGCCUUCCUAAGGAAAAAUAGUUUGAACAUUUUAUGGAAAAUAAAGGUUUAUGUUUC